UUUCCCCAACUCCUCCCCUCACUAAACACUUUUUAAAUGUUCCUAAAGUGCAGCUUGUGUUUUAUGCUAGGACAUGGUAAUCCAUCCACAUGCUGUGCUGGCAAAGCAAAUAUGCUUUUACCUGUAGAGCAUAUACCCGGUUAUUCACUUCUUCCCUCUUCUCCUUCAAGUUCAUGCAAGGAAAUUUCCUGGGUAAUUUAAGAGUCAUCUGCUACCCCAUUCACUCAAGGUAAAUUGAUAUCUAUGAAUAUUUCUCCAGUGAAGGUCUAAAGUCAUGAACUACUGUGUUCUUUCUGCAGAUGAACUUGAAUGUCACGGAGAGAGCAACAAGAAUUAUUCCAGAAUAUGAACAGGAUCGCUUCACCAGGUAAGUUUCCUGAACACUGAGGUGUGAAUGGGAAGAGGCAUCUUUCACAUCCUUAGCUGAAACAUUCAGCAUACAGCUGAGACUCAAUUUCCUGACUGCCUGCUCAGAACAAAGGGCUUGGUACACUGCUCUCACUUCUCUUCUGUGUGGCUGCUGUUCUUCACUUCUUCCUGAGGU
Molecule: long non-coding RNA, 544 nt
Organism: Melospiza melodia melodia
Lineage: Eukaryota; Metazoa; Chordata; Aves; Passeriformes; Passerellidae
Exons: 4
Source: RefSeq, a predicted model, not a curated record